Molecule: ribosomal RNA, 464 nt
Filed under: Vreelandella stevensii
Lineage: Bacteria; Pseudomonadati; Pseudomonadota; Gammaproteobacteria; Oceanospirillales; Halomonadaceae
Description: partial 16S ribosomal RNA
Rfam family: Bacterial small subunit ribosomal RNA
Source: RNAcentral
CUACGGGUGGCAUCAGUGGGGAAUAUUGGACAAUGGGCGAAAGCCUGAUCCAGCCAUGCCGCGUGUGUGAAGAAGGCCUUCGGGUUGUAAAGCACUUUCAGUGGGGAAGAAAGCCUUGGGGCUAAUACCCUCGAGGAAGGACAUCACCCACAGAAGAAGCACCGGCUAACUCCGUGCCAGCAGCCGCGGUAAUACGGAGGGUGCGAGCGUUAAUCGGAAUUACUGGGCGUAAAGCGCGCGUAGGCGGUCUGAUAAGCCGGUUGUGAAAGCCCCGGGCUCAACCUGGGAACGGCAUCCGGAACUGUCAGGCUAGAGUGCAGGAGAGGAAGGUAGAAUUCCCGGUGUAGCGGUGAAAUGCGUAGAGAUCGGGAGGAAUACCAGUGGCGAAGGCGGCCUUCUGGACUGACACUGACGCUGAGGUGCGAAAGCGUGGGUAGCAAACAGGAUUAGAUACCCUAGUAGUC